UACAUAGGGGGCGAGCGUUGUCCGGAAUUACUGGGCGUAAAGGGUGUGUAGGCGGUUUUUUAAGUUAGAAGUGUAAUACCCAGGGCUUAACUCGGGUGCUGCUUCUAAAACUGGAAGACUUGAGUGUAGGAGAGGAGAAUGGAAUUCCUAGUGUAGCGGUGGAAUGCAUAGAUAUUAGGAGGAACGCCGGAGGCGAAAGCGAUUCUCUGGACUACAACUGACGCUGAGGCACGAAAGCGUGGGGAGCAAACAGGAUUAGAUAC
This 263-nucleotide ribosomal RNA is filed under the name uncultured bacterium. RNAcentral describes it as "partial 16S ribosomal RNA". It matches the Rfam family "Bacterial small subunit ribosomal RNA", at positions 524 to 785 of the family's 1533-position model. The record is from RNAcentral.